This 75-nucleotide transfer RNA is filed under the name Bacillota bacterium. RNAcentral's name for it is "tRNA-Glu". It matches the Rfam family "tRNA". Rfam says of the family: Transfer RNA (tRNA) molecules are approximately 80 nucleotides in length. Their secondary structure includes four short double-helical elements and three loops (D, anti-codon, and T loops). The record is from RNAcentral. Lineage: Bacteria; Bacillati; Bacillota. RNAcentral also lists the same sequence under 1 other name.
GGCCCGUUGGUCAAGCGGUUAAGACACCGGCCUUUCACGCCGGCAACAGGGGUUCGAAUCCCCUACGGGUCACCA